AUUGAACGCUGGCGGUAGGCCUAACACAUGCAAGUCGAACGGCAGCACAGGAGAGCUUGCUCUCUGGGUGGCGAGUGGCGGACGGGUGAGGAAUACAUCGGAAUCUACUUUUUCGUGGGGGAUAACGUAGGGAAACUUACGCUAAUACCGCAUACGACCUACGGGUGAAAGCAGGGGAUCUUCGGACCUUGCGCGAUUGAAUGAGCCGAUGUCGGAUUAGCUAGUUGGCGGGGUAAAGGCCCACCAAGGCGACGAUCCGUAGCUGGUCUGAGAGGAUGAUCAGGCACACUGGAACUGAGACACGGUCCAGACUCCUACGGGAGGCAGCAGUGGGGAAUAUUGGACAAUGGGCGCAAGCCUGAUCCAGCCAUACCGCGUGGGUGAAGAAGGCCUUCGGGUUGUAAAGCCCUUUUGUUGGGAAAGAGAUCCAGCUGGUUAAUACCCGGUUGGGAUGACGGUACCCAAAGAAUAAGCACCGGCUAACUUCGUGCCAGCAGCCGCCGCAG
RNAcentral lists this ribosomal RNA (506 nucleotides) under uncultured bacterium. RNAcentral's name for it is "partial 16S ribosomal RNA". It matches the Rfam family "Bacterial small subunit ribosomal RNA", at positions 30 to 523 of the family's 1533-position model. The record is from RNAcentral.